This 243-nucleotide ribosomal RNA is filed under the name uncultured Actinomycetales bacterium. Its description in RNAcentral is "partial 16S ribosomal RNA". It matches the Rfam family "Bacterial small subunit ribosomal RNA", at positions 88 to 334 of the family's 1533-position model. Lineage: Bacteria; Bacillati; Actinomycetota; Actinomycetes; Actinomycetales. The record is from RNAcentral.
UACUCGAGUGGCGAACGGGUGAGUAACACGUGGGUGAUCUGCCCUGCACUUCGGGAUAAGCUUGGUAAACUGGGUCUAAUACCGGAUAGGAGCCAUCUUUAGUGUGGUGGUUGGAAAGUUUUUUCGGUGUAGGAUGAGCUCGCGGCCUAUCAGCUUGUUGGUGGGGUAAUGGCCUACCAAGGCGGCGACGGGUAGCCGGCCUGAGAGGGUGUACGGCCACAUUGGGACUGAGAUACGGCCCAG